RNAcentral lists this ribosomal RNA (449 nucleotides) under uncultured bacterium. Its description in RNAcentral is "partial 16S ribosomal RNA". It matches the Rfam family "Bacterial small subunit ribosomal RNA", at positions 29 to 523 of the family's 1533-position model. The record is from RNAcentral.
AGCGAACGCUGGCGGCAGGCUUAACACAUGCAAGUCGAGCGCCGUAGCAAUACGGAGCGGCAGACGGGUGAGUAACACGUGGGAACGUACCUUUUGGUUCGGAACAACACAGGGAAACUUGUGCUAAUACCGGAUAAGCCCUUACGGGGAAAGAUUUAUUGCCGAAAGAUUGGCCCGCGUCUGAUGAGCUAGUUGGUGAGGUAACGGCUCACAAAGGCGAAGAUCAGUAGCUGGUCUGAGAGGAUGAUCAGCCACACUGGGCCGGAGACACGGCCCAGACUCCUACGGGAGGCAGCAGUGGGGAAUAGUGGACAAUGGGCGCAAGCCUGAUCCAGCCAUGCCGCAUGAGUGAUGAAGGCCCUAAGGUUGUAAAGCUCUUUUGUGCGGGAAGAUAAUGACUGUACCGCAAGAAUAAGCCCCGGCUAACUUCGUGCCAGCCGCCGCAGUAA